RNAcentral lists this ribosomal RNA (497 nucleotides) under uncultured bacterium. RNAcentral describes it as "partial 16S ribosomal RNA". It matches the Rfam family "Bacterial small subunit ribosomal RNA", at positions 28 to 507 of the family's 1533-position model. The record is from RNAcentral.
GAUGAACGCUGGCGGCGUGCCUAAUACAUGCAAGUCGAGCGAACAGAUGAGGAGCUUGCUCCUCUGACGUUAGCGGCGGACGGGUGAGUAACACGUGGAUAACCUACCUAUAAGACUGGGAUAACUUCGGGAAACCGGAGCUAAUACCGGAUAAUAUAUUGAACCGCAUGGUUCAAUAGUGAAAGACGGUUUUGCUGUCACUUAUAGAUGGAUCCGCGCCGCAUUAGCUAGUUGGUAAGGUAACGGCUUACCAAGGCAACGAUGCGUAGACGAGCUGAGAGGGUGAUCGGCCACACUGGAACUGAGACACGGUCCAGACUCCUACGGGAGGCAGCAGUAGGGAAUCUUCCGCAAUGGGCGAAAGCCUGGCGGAGCAACGCCGCGUGAGUGAUGAAGGUCUUCGGAUCGUAAAACUCUGUUAUUAGGGAAGAACAAAUGUGGAAGUAACUAUGCACUGCUUGACGGUACCUAAUCAGAAAGCCACGGCUAACUACGUG